GCCGGCACAGUGGCACGUGCUUGUAUUCCCAGCUACUCAAGAGGCUGAGGUGGGAGGAUUGCUUGAGCCCAGGAGUUCUGGGCUGUAGUGUGCUAUGCCGAUCGGGUGUCCGCUCUAAGUGCAGCAUAAAUAUGGUGACCUCCUGGGAGCAGGGGACCACCAGGUUGCCUAAGGAGGGGUGAACCAGUCCAAGUUGGAGGUGGAGCAGGUCAAAACUCCAGUUCUAAUCAGUAGUGGGAUCGCGCCUGUGAAUAGCCACUGCACUCCAGCCUGGGCAACAUAGCGAGGCCCUGUCUCU
Molecule: signal recognition particle RNA, 298 nt
Filed under: Cebus imitator (Panamanian white-faced capuchin)
Lineage: Eukaryota; Metazoa; Chordata; Mammalia; Primates; Cebidae
Description: Metazoan signal recognition particle RNA (ENSCCAG00000012018.1)
Rfam family: Metazoan signal recognition particle RNA
About the family: The signal recognition particle (SRP) is a universally conserved ribonucleoprotein. It is involved in the co-translational targeting of proteins to membranes. The eukaryotic SRP consists of a 300-nucleotide 7S RNA and six proteins: SRPs 72, 68, 54, 19, 14, and 9.
Source: RNAcentral